UCCGGUGACUUUACCUGGUCGGGAAACACUCGUUCCCAUUCCGAACACGACAGUUAAGCCGCCAGGGCCGAUGAUAGUGCCGAAAGGUGUGAAAGUAGGUUAUCGCCGGGG
RNAcentral lists this ribosomal RNA (111 nucleotides) under Planctomycetaceae bacterium. RNAcentral also lists the same sequence under 1 other name. The record is from RNAcentral. Lineage: Bacteria; Pseudomonadati; Planctomycetota; Planctomycetia; Planctomycetales; Planctomycetaceae.